AGUUUGAUCAUGGCUCAGAGCGAACGCUGGCGGCAGGCCUAACACAUGCAAGUCGAACGGAACUUCGGGGUUAGUGGCGGACGGGUGAGUAACACGUGGGAACGUGCCUUUAGGUUCGGAAUAGCUCCUGGAAACGGGUGGUAAUGCCGAAUGUGCUUCGGGGGAAAGAUUUAUCGCCUUUAGAGCGGCCCGCGUCUGAUUAGCUAGUUGGUGAGGUAACGGCUCACCAAGGCGACGAUCAGUAGCUGGUCUGAGAGGAUGACCAGCCACACUGGGACUGAGACACGGCCCAGACUCUACGGGAGGCAGCAGUGGGGAAUCUUGCGCAAUGGGCGAAAGCCUGACGCAGCCAUGCCGCGUGAAUGAUGAAGGUCUUAGGAUUGUAAAAUUCUUUCACCGGGGACGAUAAUGACGGUACCCGGAGAAGAAGCCCCGGCUAACUUCGUGCCAGCAGCCGCGGUAAUACGAAGGGGGCUAGCGUUGCUCGGAAUUACUGGGCGUAAAGGGCGCGUAGGCGGAUCGUUAAGUCAGAGGUGAAAUCCCAGGGCUCAACCCUGGAACUGCCUUUGAUACUGGCGAUCUUGAGUAUGAGAGAGGUAUGUGGAACUCCGAGUGUAGAGGUGAAAUUCGUAGAUAUUCGGAAGAACACCAGUGGCGAAGGCGACAUACUGG
Molecule: ribosomal RNA, 672 nt
Filed under: Brevundimonas sp. GWS-BW-H203
Lineage: Bacteria; Pseudomonadati; Pseudomonadota; Alphaproteobacteria; Caulobacterales; Caulobacteraceae
Description: bacterial SSU rRNA
Rfam family: Bacterial small subunit ribosomal RNA
Source: RNAcentral